AAAAUGGUGAAAAUUGGAGAAGGAAUUGAAGUCAGAGAUGAGCUAAUCAAGAAAACAUGUAACUUAACCAUGGAAGCUCACAAUUUAUCACCUGGGAAACCUUAUAUUUACAAGAAAAUUAAUGGGUCUACUGAUGUUGUUUUUGCUUUUGCUGGAACUUUGUCUUCUGAUGGUUGGUACAGUAACACUUCUUUUGGAGAGAAAGAGAUCAACACCACUCUGUUUCCAUCUUUGAGAAGUGUUGGCACUGAUGAAGUAGCUAAGGUCAAUGAAGUAUUUGCUACAAGAUUUGAAGAGAUACUGGACAAAUCUUCACUUAAAAAUGAGGUGGAGAAGGCAAUGUUAGAAGGAAGACAGGUAGUGUUUGCAGGGCACUCGUCGGGUGGCGCUAUAGCUAUUCUGGCAGCUCUCUGGUGUCUGGAAUGUUGCCGCACAAGACCAAAUGGUGACAUGUUACUCCAUCCAUACUGUAUGACUUUUGGAUCCCCUCUUGUUGGUAACAAGAUAUGGUCUCAUGCCCUCAGGCGCGAA
This 531-nucleotide unclassified non-coding RNA is filed under the name Hevea brasiliensis (rubber tree). The record is from RNAcentral. Lineage: Eukaryota; Viridiplantae; Streptophyta; Magnoliopsida; Malpighiales; Euphorbiaceae.